RNAcentral lists this ribosomal RNA (468 nucleotides) under uncultured bacterium. Its description in RNAcentral is "partial 16S ribosomal RNA". It matches the Rfam family "Bacterial small subunit ribosomal RNA", at positions 28 to 507 of the family's 1533-position model. The record is from RNAcentral.
GACGAACGCUGGCGGCGUGCUUAACACAUGCAAGUCGAACGGAAAGGCCCUGCUUUUGUGGGGUGCUCGAGUGGCGAACGGGUGAGUAACACGUGAGUAACCUGCCCUUCACUUUGGUAUAACUUCAGGAAACUGGCGCUUAUACCGGAUAGGAGCUCCUGCUGCAUGGUGGGGGUUGGAGAGUUUCGGCGGUUGGGGAUGAACUCGCGGCUUAUCAGCUUGUUGGUGGGGUAGUGGCUUACCAAGGCUUUGACGGGUAGCCGGCCUGAGAGGGUGACCGGCCACAUUGGGACUGAGAUACGGCCCAGACUCCUACGGGAGGCAGCAGUGGGGAAUAUUGCACAAUGGGCGGAAGCCUGAUGCAGCAACGCCGCGUGCGGGAUGACGGCCUUCGGGUUGUAAACCGCUUUCGCCUGUGACGAAGCGUGAGUGACGGUAAUGGGUAAAGAAGCACCGGCUAACUACGUG